RNAcentral lists this ribosomal RNA (1779 nucleotides) under uncultured fungus. Its description in RNAcentral is "bacterial SSU rRNA". The stretch from base 1 to 654 matches the Rfam family "Eukaryotic small subunit ribosomal RNA", at positions 1158 to 1831 of the family's 1831-position model. The record is from RNAcentral. Lineage: Eukaryota; Fungi.
GGAAGGGCACCACCAGGUGUGGAGCCUGCGGCUUAAUUUGACUCAACACGGGAAACUCACCAGGUCCAGACACAAUAAGGAUUGACAGAUUGAUAGCUCUUUCUUGAUCUUGUGGUUGGUGGUGCAUGCCCGUUCUUAGUUGGUGGAGUGAUUUGUCUGGUUAAUUCCGAUAACGAACGAGACCUUAACCUGCUAAAUAGCCCCGGCUGGCUUUGGCUGGUCGCUGGCUUCUUAGAGGGACUAUCGGCGUUUAGCCGAUGGAAGUUUGAGGCAAUAACAGGUCUGUGAUGCCCUUAGAUGUUCUGGGCCGCACGCGCGCUACACUGACAAAGCCAGCGAGUUCAUCACCUUGGCUGGAAAGCCUGGGUAAUCUUGUGAAACUUUGUCGUGAUGGGGAUAGAGCAUUGCAAUUAUUGCUCUUCAACGAGGAAUACCUAGUAGGCGUGAGUCAUCAGCUCGCGUCGAUUACGUCCCUGCCCUUUGUACACACCGCCCGUCGCUACUACCGAUUGAGCGGCUUAGUGAGGUCUUCGGAUUAGCCUUCGGAAGCUGGAAACGGCAUCUGGAGGCCGAAAAGUUGAACGAACUUGGUCGCUUAGAGGAAGUAAAAGUCGUAACAAGGUUUCCGUAGGUGAACCUGCGGAAGGAUCAUUAGUGAAUCCGGGCAGAGAUGCCCUUCACAAUUUUCUAACACUUGUGCACUGUCUCAUAUAACGCUGUUGAAGUACAUGGAAUGUCACAUUAGUGAUAAUAAAAAUUACAACUUUCAGCAACGGAUCUCUAGGCUCUCGCAUCGAUGAAGAACGCAGCGAAAUGCGAUACGUAAUGUGAAUUGCAGAAUUGAGUGAAUCAUCGAAUCUUUGAACGCAUCUUGCGCUCCUUGGUAUUCCGAGGAGCAUGUCUGCUUGAGUGUCAUGAAAUUCUCGACCGCCCCGAGGGCUUUUCUUUGCUCCUGGGGGAUAAGGUACGGACUGUGGCCGUAGUGUCUCUCUCUCUCUCGCACGCGCGAGAUGUUGAGGGCUCGGCUUAAUGAGAUGAAGGCUGACCUAAUCAUUUUGGGGCCGGUUGACUCGAUAUUGUACAUCACACUUUGUCGGGGCGCUGUCUCUCAAGUGUCGGCCUCCCCUUGUGAUUCAAGGGGUACCAAAAUACCAUUGAUAUCUCGACCUCAAGUCAGGCAGGACUACCCGCUGAACUUAAGCAUAUCAAUAAGCGGAGGAAAAGAAACUAACAAGGAUUCCCCUAGUAACGGCGAGUGAAGCGGGAAGAGCUCAAAUUUAAAAUCUGGCAGCUCUUGCUGUCCGAGUUGUAAUCUCGAGAGGUGUUCUCUGUGCCGGACCGUGUCUAAGUCUGUUGGAAUACUAUGUCACAGUGGGUGAGAACCCCGUACACGACGCGGAUGCCCGGUGCUCUGUGAAGCAUCUUCGAAGAGUCGAGUUGUUUGGGAAUGCAGCUCAAAGUAGGUGGUAAACUCCAUCUAAAGCUAAAUAAUGGCGAGAGACCGAUAGCGAACAAGUACCGUGAGGGAAAGAUGAAAAGCACUUUGGAAAGAGAGUUAACAGUACGUGAAAUUGUUGAAAGGGAAACGAUUGAAGUCAGCUUCGCGCGGUGGGAUUCAGCCUUGCCCUCGGGCUUGGUGUAUUUUCUGCCCUGCGGGCCAGCAUCGGUUUGGGGGGUCGGAUAAGGGCUUGGGGAAGGUGGCACCUUCGGGUGUGUUAUAGACCCAUGCUGGAUACGAACCCCUGGACCGAGGAUCGCAGCAAUAUGCUAAGGAUGCUG